UACGUAGGGCGCAAGCGUUAUCCGGAAUUAUUGGGCGUAAAGAGCUCGUAGGCGGUUUGUCGCGUCUGCCGUGAAAGUCCGGGGCUCAACUCCGGAUCUGCGGUGGGUACGGGCAGACUAGAGUGAUGUAGGGGAGACUGGAAUUCCUGGUGUAGCGGUGAAAUGCGCAGAUAUCAGGAGGAACACCGAUGGCGAAGGCAGGUCUCUGGGCAUUAACUGACGCUGAGGCACGAAAGCGUGGGGAUCGAACAGG
RNAcentral lists this ribosomal RNA (253 nucleotides) under uncultured bacterium. RNAcentral's name for it is "partial 16S ribosomal RNA". It matches the Rfam family "Bacterial small subunit ribosomal RNA", at positions 524 to 776 of the family's 1533-position model. The record is from RNAcentral.